This 65-nucleotide transfer RNA is filed under the name Delias hyparete (painted jezebel). RNAcentral describes it as "tRNA-His". The record is from RNAcentral. Lineage: Eukaryota; Metazoa; Arthropoda; Insecta; Lepidoptera; Pieridae.
ACUUAAAUAAUUUAAAUUAAAAUAUUGAUUUGUGGAUUCAAAAAUAUGGUUAGCCAUUUUAAGUC